AACUUUCAACAAUGGAUCUCUAGGUUCUCGCAUCGAUGAAGAACGUAGCAAAUUGCGAUAACUAGUGUGAAUUGCAUUUUCAGUGAAUCAUCGAGUCUUUGAACGCAUCUUGCACUCUAGGGAUUUCCUCUAGAGUACGCCUGUUUCAGUGACAG
RNAcentral lists this ribosomal RNA (155 nucleotides) under Backusella lamprospora. Its description in RNAcentral is "5.8S ribosomal RNA". It matches the Rfam family "5.8S ribosomal RNA". Rfam says of the family: 5.8S ribosomal RNA (5.8S rRNA) is a component of the large subunit of the eukaryotic ribosome. Lineage: Eukaryota; Fungi; Mucoromycota; Mucoromycetes; Mucorales; Backusellaceae. The record is from RNAcentral.